RNAcentral lists this ribosomal RNA (492 nucleotides) under uncultured bacterium. Its description in RNAcentral is "partial 16S ribosomal RNA". It matches the Rfam family "Bacterial small subunit ribosomal RNA", at positions 29 to 507 of the family's 1533-position model. The record is from RNAcentral.
AGUGAACGCUGGCGGUAGGCCUAACACAUGCAAGUCGAACGGCAGCACAGUAAGAGCUUGCUCUUACGGGUGGCGAGUGGCGGACGUGUGAGGAAUACAUCGUAAUCUACUUUUUCGUGGGGGAUAACGUAGGGAAACUUACGCUAAUACCGCAUACGACCUACGGGUGAAAGCAGUGGAUCUUCGGACCUUGCGCGAUUGAAUGAGCCGAUGUCGGAUUAGCUAGUUGGCGGGGUAAAGGCCCACCAAGGCGACGAUCCGUAGCUGGUCUGAGAGGAUGAUCAGCCACACUGGAACUGAGACACGGUCCAGACUCCUACGGGAGGCAGCAGUGGGGAAUAUUGGACAAUGGGCGCAAGCCUGAUCCAGCCAUACCGCGUGGGUGAAGAAGGCCUUCGGGUUGUAAAGCCCUUUUGUUGGGAAAGAAAAGCAGCAGGUUAAUACCCCGCUGUUCUGACGGUACCCAAUGAAUAAGCACCGGCUAACUUCGUG